Molecule: long non-coding RNA, 635 nt
Filed under: Homo sapiens (human)
Lineage: Eukaryota; Metazoa; Chordata; Mammalia; Primates; Hominidae
Description: HSALNT0301316
Source: RNAcentral
GCGACCUGCGAUCAUUGAACGAGGCACGCAGCGGUGGUGGUGGAGAUAGGGAGACCCUCUGUGCCGGGGGGACCCUCACCAAGGUGAAGACACCGAGGCUCAGGGAGGAAGCAAAGCGCGGAGCAGGGCCAGAUCUGUCUGGCUCCUGACCCCACACCACAGCUUUCGACAUUGUUUAGUAACAGCCUCUGCAUCCUGAGGGUGCUCUCGCUAGGUGUGACUUGAAUCUCUCCUCCCCUCGCCUGCGUUGGAUCUGAUGGAAGGACUGUGUAAGUAGGUCGGAUCUGCUUCUAACCCAGCCUUGAGAGACAUCACCUGUCUUCUUGUGCAGAUCCUCAGAACAGGAAGGUGGCAGAAUCGUGUUUCAAAGUGGGACUUGAAGAUGCUUGGCAGGAGACUCGUCCAGAUGGAGGGGCAGUGGGGAAAAGCUUUAUUGCCUUUAGGACUUCUGUGUCUCCCUUGCCUUACAACGUACCCAACAUUCAAUCCAGUGUCCUGGUGGUGGCAGAUGUGGAAGCCGAGUCUGGAGAUGUCAAGGGGCUUGGCCCAGGUCACACAGCCCGCCAUAGUAGGGCUGCCCUUGGAGCUUCAUUUCCCAACUGGAAGCCAAACCCUGUGCCGCCUCUGCUUGUGCA